AAGGGAGACCUAAUUCGGGUAGGGGACGAAAAAAAAGUAGUCCCUACCAAGAAUCAAUCCCAAAAGGUCGGAACGAGGUAUGAGGCUUUCAAACUAGGUUCUGGGUUCAUAAAAGACCUGAAUCAGGAACAAGGGCUAUUAGCUCAGGUGGUUAGAGCGCACCCCUGAUAAGGGUGAGGUCCCUGGUUCGAGUCCAGGAUGGCCCACCUGCACAGGUGGCAAAAACAAGAGAAGCUCCGAAUCAGCACCUUAUCUUAUAUACAUAUAUAAGAGAGAAUGCUGGCUCUGAGUACAGAGUCCAGAGGAACCUUGAAAACUGCAUAGAGCUAGGUGAAAAAGCCAAAAAAGAAGACCGCAA
RNAcentral lists this transfer RNA (358 nucleotides) under uncultured Microcystis sp. RNAcentral describes it as "partial 16S-23S ribosomal RNA intergenic spacer". The stretch from base 133 to 206 matches the Rfam family "tRNA". The record is from RNAcentral. Lineage: Bacteria; Bacillati; Cyanobacteriota; Cyanophyceae; Chroococcales; Microcystaceae.